Molecule: RNA transcript, 6561 nt
Organism: Syngnathoides biaculeatus (alligator pipefish)
Lineage: Eukaryota; Metazoa; Chordata; Actinopteri; Syngnathiformes; Syngnathidae
Exons: 8
Source: RefSeq, a predicted model, not a curated record
AUACAAUUCUUGUAUUGGUUUUAACUUCAUGGUGCUAGUGUACCCGCAAUUGUACACAGAGUACAUGUUAAUACUUUGAAUCAAAUGAUGGGAGUUUGGAAAAAUAGAAAGUAUUUAUUAUUGUCAAAUAAUUGCGCGAGUGCAUCUCUAACUAUAAUAAAACUUGUAGAUUGACUACAGAGUAAACCAAUAUUAAAGUAAAUAGGCCUUAGCGGAUCACAAGCGAACGUAUCACUCUUCAGUUCCUCAGUACUGUACUGUACUGUACACCUAUUCAAUUCCUCGUUACAGUUGUUCAGUAAACAUAAUCACUUAGUCCUCCAUCUGCCUGCAAAGCGCUGGCUGCUCAUUUUUCGAUCGCAGAAGUGAGUGACAUUGCUGGUGAGUCGUGAAUCAGUCCCGAGCCCGCCUGUACGCUGGCUGCUCCUUGCUUAUUCUCAGAAUAUUCAGAAGUGAGCGACAGAAUAUUAUUUUGCACUUCUAGCCCACCGUCGUUUUUUUAGGGUUAUGGCCUCAUGCUGGCCAAGCAAAUCGUUUCUUAAACUGAAUCGGCUCAGUUCGUUCACUUAAAAAGAUUGUCUUUGACGAAUCGUUCGCAAACGUAACAAGACGACCAAUGUGGAGGUGACUGCUCGAUAAACAAAUCGAUGAAGAGCACGAGUGCACUUUUUCUUUUCGUGCUGCAGCACAGGCUUCAAGAUGCUUCAGUAUUGUACAGAUUUUGUGGGUGAAACGGAAGAAGCUCAUGAGACCAUCUGUAGCACCAGUGGCCCGAAAAGUCCUGACGUUCCGGUUCCAUGUUUGUUGGAAGAACCGACUGUGUCCGCCGCCCACCCUUCAGUCGCUACUAAAACCAGCAACAGCGCAAGAGGAACGAAGCCGCCAAACACGGUUAAUGGAUACUUGAACCAUGUCAAGGGCAAGGCGACCAAUUCAGCACCCGCAAGGAAUGGUGGGAAACAAAGAACCGCGGUUUCAGCUGCAGCUGGCGCAUUGGUAAACGGUGAGGACCACGACGACGUUUUGUCCGCUUUUGAGCGACCGUCAACAGAACGCGACCCGCCUUUGGCAACAGGCGUGAAAAACAAGAGAUCGAGCCACGGGUGGAGGAGGAGAAAGAAAAGUAGAAAGCCGCGGAACCGCCCCGACAGCGACUUUGAAGGCACGCGGUGUAUUUUAAGACACACUGAACCCGCGUGUCCCAAGAAGCCAGGAUUGCGGCUACCGGACGAGGAAGACUGGGACAAAGAGUGCCAAACCAAUUUGAAGAGUUUUUCAAGCCAAGAUUACGGUGUCGUUCACACGCGCGUGAGGCCAUCAGCGUUUGACUGCUCGGCUUCGCGGUUUUAGCAAGCCUGCAGUCUCAUCCCGUGACCCACGACUCGGCGCUCGACAUCGGAGCAGCGUCGUGAAACUGCAUCCCGGCAAGACGUUUCUCUGCGCCCGACUGCGCUUCAUUCCAGGUUGCGGUUCUAAGAAGAGCCCCCGCGACUCGGAACGCCAUUUCGCCGACGCCAAGACAGCUGAUGUUUUCCAAGCGUCUUGAAUAACUUCCAUUGAUGACCUUAAUGGAAGCGGGAAACCAAUUUUCUGCCACGGAAGAAGCACUUUUGGAAUUCCCUUUUUAUUUUUCUGCCGUUUUACGAUCUUCGGCGCCUAGCCUGGCAUGGAGGCCCCGUGAACUUGAAGGCCAAGCUAACAAUGAGCCCCGGCGGCGGCCACGACGAGCUCCGCUCGCCCUGAUUAACUGCAAAUCCUCACCAGUGUGCUGUUUACUGCACCGCGCUGAUGCUUCUUUGUCUUUUAUCAUUAUUAUUUUGAAAACACAGACCUAAGCCGCCCUCUGAGUGUGUACGUGUAGCAAAAUGGCCACCUUUUCAUGACAGUGAAGAGGUGGGGAGGAUAAAAGACUCUGCACAUGCUACGGGUUCGUUCGGUGAGCUUUGGCAGCCUCUUUGGCAAAGCCCCUCGCUGCCAAAGCAAACACCCACUUUCAUUUUUUUUUUUUUUCCUGACUCCACACACACACGCGAGUAUGACUGUAUCUUCGGCACGGAACACGAGUCUGCCAAUCGCCCCGUGGAGUUUCGCAACACAGAACCGCGCUGCCGGGCCUCCGACGGCCAACGUGCACGGUCGACCCCGAAUGGGCGGAAAACAACUGGAAACCAAAGUGCCUCGGCGGAUGCUUGGCAGAACCCCCACCCUCCGCCCCCCUGACUGCGAGGGCUGCUGGAAUACUUUCACACAAUGCAAAUACGGCAACACUGGAAGCAAACACCGGCGUGAAGGCAAACGGGAGCGCUGCUGAGCGAACUGAACCGGCGCAGAAAGGCAAAACGGCAUUCCUUACGGGGCGGGGUGUACGCUCGGGCCGCUCGGAAGGUCCUCGGCGGUCCUACGCUUCAAGGCGACAGUCAUGUGACGUGUUUAUGUUGGGCCUUUCGGUCUGCCACGGGGCCUGUUAGGAGGCUGUGUACACUGGCAACAUUGUGUCCACGCUACUUUUCAAAAGGCCACACGCGUGCAGCCGCCUUCCGUACAAAUACGAAUUUCAUGCGAUUUUCUUUGCAGGCAGACCCAAAUGUAACAGGUCUGGAAUAGACCUCGUGCGCCUACGUCAUAAAAUCACAUGACUUUUGUUUACCUCGCCAUAUUGCCGGUCAAGCUAAGCAUUGCUCAAUGCUAAGCCGGUUGGAGACGACACGGAAAUAUGUCUUGUAGCACGACGCCCAGAGUCUUGUCCGAUAAUGUCAGACAUUUAGAGGGGGAAAAUAAACGACGGUACGUGGAAAAAUUAGUUCAAUUCGCCAUACAGGACCCAUAUUUAAUGCCGAAAUUGAUCUUUUCGCCAAAAGGAAAUUGGACUGUUAAUUGGCUUCCGCUUGUCUUGGACAACUGGAUCUACACACAGAUCUGGUGAGUAAGUCAUCGAGAUUUACACGGAAAAGUGUAUAAAAGUCUGGACGCUUACAAAUACUUUGUCGCUGGAUCUGUUCUCAUCAGGAAUAAAUCCCACAUAGUGACGGUUUUGACAGCUCGUGAACGCGGAAGCGUGUUCGGCCACACGUUAACCUUUGCCGGAAUCCAUCGAUCUCUGCAGCGAGUAUUCAAUACAAAUACCAAUAUUGAAAUAAAUGACCCCUGGUUUUACACAAACUCUCUCUCGAAAAAAAAAAAAAAAGGACGGAGUCGUCUCCACGGAACGUACACGGAAGCGAUUGCAGCCACACUUAAACCUUCGUCAACCUCUGCGACAGACAUUUUUUAUUCAUACACAUUGUUUUCAAAUGAGCCAACUUGGCAUUAUUAAUACUUUUUGGUAAUUUAAGAUUGAGAAGAAUAAUUCCUACCUGAAAUGAAACGAUCGCUACACGGGCUUGUGUGCAUUUUGGUCGGGCACCAUCCAUCACCUUUAAUUGCCAAAAUCCAUCAAUCUUUUCUGGCCUUUUCAGCUGGUAUUCCACAGAAUGACCUCUUUGAAGAUCCGUCUCGUCUGUCGUGACAACCAACAGCACAACAGGUCUCGGGUAUUGUAAAUGUUCUCCUUUCAAUGUUUCCCACAAUGUCGAGCGGCUCUGUUUAACCGGCAAUAUGGCGCCGGGAAAACGGCGACGUCACCUGCGCGAGCUUUAUAUAGCGACUGUGUAGAGAAUAAAAUUAAUUUUACCCCAGCGACACAGUUCAAACACAUUGCAACUUACAUUUAAAAAGACAAAACGGCUUCAAACUGGAAAGUACAAAAAAGUUCUAAAAUGGGCAAAAGUUGCCACGUGAUUACGGCAACACACUAGUUUUGUUUAAAUGAAGCGCCGUAACACAUUUCAAAUGAAUUACAUGGCACCAACAUCCCAGUAGAUGGCAAAGCCCUACUUUUGUUGAAAUGAAGCAGUUUAACUGCAACUUAGUUCCGAAGCACCAAGAAGCCACAAAAUGGCACAAAAGCAGUCAGUUGGUGACGUAUUUCAGCAAAUAAAGAAAUGACCAAAUAACAAAAUUCAGAAUUUACAAAGAUAAUCCUCAGUCAUGACUGACACUGUUCGAGAUUGUAUUCAUUUCGCAAUAUGUGGUUGCACUUUGCACAGCUUUGUCGCAUUUAUCGGAACAGUCGGAGUCCCACGUCGAUGUUGUUCGUAGUCGAGCGAUUGUGACGGGGAUUUUUAAUGAGUGUAAAAUUUCAAAUCAGUCCGGAAGUGCAAAUUCAGUUUCCAUAAAUUAUUCUCAAGUCUCAACAGGACGUGUAAUACACGUACAGGGAGAAAAUCAUACAUUUCCACAUUUAGGAUUGGCCUUUAAAAAAAAAAAAAGUCUGACUUGUUACUAAGGAAUUCCAACGUGUAUUGCAGAUAUACGGUACCACACGCUUGUGAUCUCCAAGGGACACUGAACAGCCUGAUUGGGUCGGAGCGGGUCGGAGGGUUCGUGGUGGUGUUUGUUAAGUGAUUCCACUCCCCUCUCACACUGACGAAAGCCCGGCAGGAGGCGGCCCACCCGAUGGUCUCUCCCCACCAUGAAGGCGGUGGUGGACGCCGUGUGGGCGGCGUGGAGCAUCGGGGCCUCCGUCUACGACUACAUCCACACCAGCGCCAUGGAGGAUCGCAUACACGCUCUGGAGAAGGUCACCGCCGUCCACCAGUGUGCCAUCGGGCUGCUCUCGGCGGCCAUCUUGGUGCUCUUCACCUACGUCUUCCUCAAGAAGCUUUGAGAGUCAAGAACGCUGAGGGAUUCUACUUGUAAGGUGAAAUAAUAUUAAUAAUCCGUUUUUUGGGAACAAACGGGCUGCAGGCUCCACUGGACAUUUAUUGGAUUUCUCAUAUCUUACUGAGAGUCAUUUUUUUUUAUCAUGGAAAUCUAACUUGAAAAUUAAAAACAAAUAAAAUGAAUACUUAGGAGAUCUUAACCAGUAGACAAAACGUUCUGUGGUGGUUUAAGAUCCGAGCGACCCAACCGAGGUUGGGUUUUUAAUUUUAGCCACAAGCUGUCAUCCGCUUUGUUUUGGGUUGGCUUUUUUGGGGGGUGCUUUGACUUGUGAGAAUUGAGAAUGACAGCAGCUUGGCAAAUAAUGAACAAUUCAUCAAAAAGGGGGCUUCAAGCUGUUCAAUGCCACUACCAGUUGAAUUUUACUGUCAAACUAAACAAAGCUAAGAAUUGCACCAGUUUUAGUUGAAGCGAUCACAGCCGUGCCUUAGGGAAGUACACCUAGCUUAAUGCUAACAAACGAUGCAAAAAAUUCCAUUGUCGUUAUAAAAGUUAAAAUGCGUAGUCGCAGAUUUAGAAGCGACGGGUAUUUGAACGCAAAGUGCGGCAAUAGAUAAUAGAACAAUAUGCAGACGCAGAUUCUUUAUCCUCUGCAACGAAUGACGAUAUUACAGUAUCUGAGUCACUUAUGGUAAGUAGUAAAAGUACCAAGUUCUCACUCACUGUGUCUACAUUAUACCGCCUGUUGUUGGCCACGGCAGGCACCCCGUAAGGAGCAACACAAUGAACUGAAUUGUGAAUGAAAUCAUGAUGCACAAACUGCUUUAUUGUUUACAUUGUAUUUAAUCAUAUUAGUAUUUGACUUAAAGUGCAAAGUGCCAUUUUUGCAGAUUAAACUAAUUUUGGGGAGCCGAGCCUUGAACGGCUUACGGCGGAUCCUCGCACGUUCGCAGUUUGGCACCUCCCGAUAUAGUUCAUUUUGGUUUUCAGUUUUUUCCUUUUUUUUUUGUUUAUUCCCACUUAUUCAAGUAUGUAUUUGGACAAUUGAUUAAUUACAAUUUCAAGCAAUUAUAAUGGGUUUUAAUUAUCUGCCAUUUUUCGCUAUCCAUAGUCCGGGCCGGCCCUGAUCCGCCACAAAUAGCGGCGGUCCACUGUCACGAAAAUUUAAGUUGUGACUGUAUUAAGUUACAACUAUGGUCACGGAAAGAAUCAAACUCGUAUCUCAAGGCACCCCCGCAUGAUUUCUGAGGAGAAAUAUCGCGAGUGGUAAAUGACGUGAACGCGGGGCCCCGUUAGUUACAUUUUCAUAACUUUAGAAAGAUAAUGCCCAGGUUGACAGUGUCAGAGGGUUAUUUGUGCACUACUGUAUCAUGUUUAUUAUUGUCAUUUUACUUUGUAGUGGCGUACAACUGCACUUUCCAGUAUUCUCAUUCAUCUACUUGACAGAAUGUAAAUGAUUAGACACAAUAAGCGCGAAAUGACUAUUAUACGUAUGAUAAUGUCUUUUUUGUUUUUUUUUUAAGGAAAGCAUUUUUAAAAAAAAAAAAGUACGAGUGUACCUGUCAGGGUAAUUGCGUCAUUUUAAAAGGGAUUGUUCUUGAAAUACCGUGUUGCCGUUUUAUCUGCCUUAAAGAAUGUCAGAUCAAUGCUUCUGGAAGAUGUCGACGACAGAAGCCAAAGUAUGGGAAUGUUAUUAUUAUCAGUCUAUUUAUGGGGGAAGAAACCACUGGAUCGCUGAAUUCAUCCUUGUUAGGAUAACAUUAGAUUUCAUAAUCACAAUGUACCUAACGUGCUUUGUUAACUUUAUACUGAAGAUGGUGUACGAGGCAAUAAAGUGUCCGUAAUCAUGGAAAUGUCCACGUU